Molecule: transfer RNA, 147 nt
Filed under: Penicillium salamii
Lineage: Eukaryota; Fungi; Ascomycota; Eurotiomycetes; Eurotiales; Aspergillaceae
Description: tRNA-Leu
Rfam family: tRNA
About the family: Transfer RNA (tRNA) molecules are approximately 80 nucleotides in length. Their secondary structure includes four short double-helical elements and three loops (D, anti-codon, and T loops). Further hydrogen bonds mediate the characteristic L-shaped molecular structure. tRNAs have two regions of fundamental functional importance: the anti-codon, which is responsible for specific mRNA codon recognition, and the 3' end, to which the tRNAs corresponding amino acid is attached (by aminoacyl-tRNA synthetases). tRNAs cope with the degeneracy of the genetic code in two manners: having more than one tRNA (with a specific anti-codon) for a particular amino acid; and 'wobble' base-pairing, i.e. permitting non-standard base-pairing at the 3rd anti-codon position.
Source: RNAcentral
CCUGCCAAGAGCCUAGGUGGUCUAGUGGUAAGGCGCUCGUAAGUACCUCCAGACCUUCAUCGGGGUGAGUCAACAUUUGGGUUGGCAAUAACUUUGAAAGGAGGAUGGAGACACGAGAGACCCGGGUUCGAUCCCCGGCCUAGGCAU